Molecule: ribosomal RNA, 367 nt
Filed under: uncultured organism
Description: bacterial LSU rRNA
Rfam family: Bacterial large subunit ribosomal RNA
Source: RNAcentral
CUUUACUGUAGCUUGGUAUUGUGCCCGGGCUCUGAAUGCGCAGGAUAGGUGGGAGGCUUUGAUCCAUUGCUUGUGGGUGAUGGUGAGCCAACGGUGAGAUACCACUCUGUCAGAGCUAGAAUUCUAACCUUCACCCGUGAUCCGGGGAAGGAACCGUAUCAGGUGGGCAGUUUGACUGGGGCGGUCGCCUCCUAAAAGGUAACGGAGGCGCGCAAAGGUGUUCUCAGGCUGGUUGGAAAUCAGCCGUAGAGUGUAAAGGCAGAAGGGAGCUUGACUGUGAGACCUACAAGUCGAACAGGGACGAAAGUCGGCCUUAGUGAUCCGACGGUUCUGUGUGGAAGGGCCGUCGCUCAACGGAUAAAAGUUA